GACGAACGCUGGCGGCGUGCUUAACACAUGCAAGUCGAGCGGAAAGGCCCUUCGGGGUACUCGAGCGGCGAACGGGGGAGUAACACGUGAGUAACCUGCCCUAGGCUUUGGGAUAACCCCGGGAAACCGGGGCUAAUACCGGAUAUGACCUGGUGCCGCAUGGUGUUGGGGGGAAAGUUUUUUCGGCCUGGGAUGGGCUCGCGGCCUAUCAGCUUGGUGGCGGGGUGAUGGCCUACCAAGGCGAUGACGGGUAGCCGGCCUGAGAGGGCGACCGGCCACACUGGGACUGAGACACGGCCCAGACUCCUACGGGAAGCAGCAGUGGGGAAGAGUGCACAAUGGGCGGAAGCCUGAUGCAGCGACACCGUGUGAGGGAUGAAGGCCUUCGGGUUGUAAACCUCUUUCAGCAGGGACGAAGCGUGAGUGACGGUACCUGCAGAAGAAGCGCCGGCCAACUACGUG
Molecule: ribosomal RNA, 462 nt
Filed under: uncultured bacterium
Lineage: Bacteria
Description: partial 16S ribosomal RNA
Rfam family: Bacterial small subunit ribosomal RNA
Source: RNAcentral